RNAcentral lists this ribosomal RNA (650 nucleotides) under uncultured bacterium. Its description in RNAcentral is "bacterial SSU rRNA". It matches the Rfam family "Bacterial small subunit ribosomal RNA", at positions 842 to 1500 of the family's 1533-position model. The record is from RNAcentral.
AGUGUCGCAGGGAAACCGAUAAACACACCGCCUGGGGAGUACGACCGCAAGGUUAAAACUCAAAUGAAUUGACGGGGACCCGCACAAGUAGUGGAGCAUGUGGUUUAAUUCGAAGAUACGCGCAGAACCUUACCAACACUUGACAUGUUCGUCGCGACUCUAAGAGAUUAGAGUUUUCGGUUCGGCCGGACGAAACACAGGUGCUGCAUGGCUGUCGUCAGCUCGUGUCGUGAGAUGUUGGGUUAAGUCCCGCAACGAGCGCAACCCUCACUUUUAGUUGCCAUCAUUAAGUUGGGCACUCUGAAAGAACUGCCAGUGAUAAGCUGGAGGAAGGUGGGGAUGACGUCAAGUCCUCAUGGCCCUUACGUGUUGGGCUACACACGUGCUACAAUGGCAUCUACAACAGGAAGCAAAACGGCAACGUUAAGCAAAUCCCGAAAAGAUGCCUCAGUUCGGAUUGCACUCUGCAACUCGAGUGCAUGAAGCUGGAAUUACUAGUAAUCGUGGAUCAGCGUGCCACGGUGAAUGCGUUCCCGGGUCUUGUACACACCGCCCGUCACACCAUGGGAGUUGGUUCUACCUUAAGGCAAGGUUUUAAACCCUUGACCACGGUAUAGUCAGCGACUGGGGUGAAGUCGUAACAAGGUACC